GCUUACGGCCAUACCACCCUGAGAACGCCCGAUCUCGUCCGAUCUCGGAAGCUAAGCAGGGUCGGGCCUGGUUAGUACUUGGAUGGGAGACCGCCUGGGAAUACCAGGUGCUCUAAGCU
RNAcentral lists this ribosomal RNA (119 nucleotides) under Takifugu rubripes (torafugu). The record is from RNAcentral. Lineage: Eukaryota; Metazoa; Chordata; Actinopteri; Tetraodontiformes; Tetraodontidae.